GACGAACGCUGGCGGCGUGCUUAACACAUGCAAGUCGAACGGAGUGCUCAUGACAGAGGUUUUGGCCAAUGGAUUGAGUUACUUAGUGGCGGACUGGUGAGUAACGCGUGAGGAACCUGCCUUUCAGAGGGGGACAACAGUUGGAAACGGCUGCUAAUACCGCAUAAGCGCACAGUACCGCAUGGUACCGUGUGAAAAACUCCGGUGGUAUGAGAUGGACCCGCGUCUGAUUAGCUAGUUGGUGGGGUAACGGCCUACCAAGGCAACGAUCAGUAGCCGACCUGAGAGGGUGACCGGCCACAUUGGGACUGAGAUACGGCCCAG
Molecule: ribosomal RNA, 324 nt
Filed under: uncultured bacterium
Lineage: Bacteria
Description: bacterial SSU rRNA
Rfam family: Bacterial small subunit ribosomal RNA
Source: RNAcentral